CAGCAGCCGCGGGAAUACGAAGGGGGCUAGCGUUGUUCGGAAUCACUGGGCGUAAAGGGCGCGUAGGCGGCCAUUCAAGUUAGAUGUGAAAGCCCUGGGCUCAACCUAGGAAUUGCAUUUGAUACUGUUUGGCUUGAGUUCGGGAGAGGUGAGUGGAAUUCCCAGUGUAGAGGUGAAAUUCGUAGAUAUGUGGAGGAACACCGAUGGCGAAGGCAGCCCCCUGUGCUAAGAUUGACGCUCAUGCACGAAAGCGUGGGGAGCAAACAGGAUUAGAUACCCGUGUAGUCCCUGUCUCUUAUAC
Molecule: ribosomal RNA, 301 nt
Filed under: uncultured bacterium
Lineage: Bacteria
Description: partial 16S ribosomal RNA
Rfam family: Bacterial small subunit ribosomal RNA
Source: RNAcentral